GUCGUAACAAGGUCUCCGUUGGUGAACCAGCGGAGGGAUCAUUACAGUGGUUUACACACAUCCUUUGUGAACUUUUUGUUGCCUUGGCGAAAGCCAGCAUACUCUUUUACUGUCUCUGAGUCUUCUAAAACAAAAUAAAAACUUUCAGCAACGGAUCUCUUGGCUCUAGCAUCGAUGAAGAACGCAGCGAAAUGCGAUAAGUAAUGCGAAUUGCAGAAUUCAGUGAGUCAUCGAAUCUUUGAACGCACAUUGCGCCUGCUAGAAAUCUAGCAGGCAUGCCUGUUUGAGCGUUAGUACGCCCCAGUUGGAGAAUGGUAUCCAUCUCUGAAAUACAGUGGCAGACGGACAAGGUGGUUUUGUGAAGUCAUAGCCCACACGGCAAUCCUGUCCCGGUGCCAGAACACUAUGAGUUAACCUCAAAUCAGGUAGGAAUACCCGCUGAACUUAAGCAUAUCAUA
This 458-nucleotide ribosomal RNA is filed under the name Ophiocordyceps dipterigena. RNAcentral describes it as "eukaryotic LSU rRNA". The stretch from base 140 to 293 matches the Rfam family "5.8S ribosomal RNA". Lineage: Eukaryota; Fungi; Ascomycota; Sordariomycetes; Hypocreales; Ophiocordycipitaceae. The record is from RNAcentral.